GGUGGUUCUCAGGUGACACAUCCCAGAAUCGGGCUCCCUCCUCUCUGGUUCCGGGUGCAUCACCCGAGAACCACA
Non-coding RNA from Myotis brandtii (Brandt's bat), 75 nucleotides. NCBI's taxonomy places the organism in Eukaryota, Metazoa, Chordata, Mammalia, Chiroptera, Vespertilionidae. The record is from Rfam.